This 546-nucleotide ribosomal RNA is filed under the name Varuna litterata. RNAcentral describes it as "partial 16S ribosomal RNA". The record is from RNAcentral. Lineage: Eukaryota; Metazoa; Arthropoda; Malacostraca; Decapoda; Varunidae.
CGGGUUUCAAAAACAACAUCCACCCUGGCCACUGGAAUGGAACUGUAUUAAAAGCGGCGCGGUAUUUUGACCGUGCAAAGGUAUCAUAAUCGUUAGUUUUUUAAUUGAAAUCUUGUAUGAGUGGGUGGACAAAAAAAAAGGUGUCUUUAUAUAAUUAAUAGAAUUUAUCUUUUAAGAGAAGGGGCUUAUAUGUUUUAAGGUGACGAUAAGACCCUAUAAAGCUUUAUAUAGAUAUAUUAUUUGGUUAUAUUUUUUAUAAAAAUUUAGUAGGAGAAUUUUUUUUGUUGGGGCGAUGGGAGUAAAAUUAUUAUUAACUGCUUUAAGUUUUGAAUACAUUUUUGUUUGAUUAAAAAUUUAAAUGACCCUAAAAAAAGAAAAAAAGUUUAAUUUACUUAGGGGAUCACAGCGUUUUUUUUUUUGAGAGUACUUAUGAGAAAAAAAGUUUGCGACCGCCGAUGUUAAAUAAAAUUUCUUUAUAAUUGCAAAAGUUAAAGAAGGGGGGCUGUUCGACCUUUAAAAUUUUACUUGAUCUGAGCGCGGACCGGA